GACGAACGCUGGCGGCGUGCUUAACACAUGCAAGUCGAACGGAAAGGCCCUGCUUUUGUGGGGUGCUCGAGUGGCGAACGGGUGAGUAACACGUGAGUAACCUGCCCUUGACUUUGGGAUAACUUCAGGAAACUGGGGCUAAUACCGGAUAGGAGCUCCCGCUGCAUGGUGGGGGUUGGAAAGUUUCGGCGGUUUGGGAUGGACUCGCGGCUUAUCAGCUUGUUGGUGGGGUAGUGGCUGACCAAGGCUUUGACGGGUAGCCGGCCUGAGAGGGUGAACGGCGACAUGGGGACUGAGAUACGGCCCAGACUCCUACGGGCGGCAGCAGUGGAGAGUAUUGCACAGUGGGCCGAAGCCUGAUGCAGCAGCGCCCCGUUCGGGAUGACGUCCUUCGGGUGGUAAACCGCUGUCGCCUGUGACGAAGCGUGAGUGACGGUAAUGGGUAAAGAAGCACCGGCUAACUACGUG
RNAcentral lists this ribosomal RNA (468 nucleotides) under uncultured bacterium. RNAcentral's name for it is "partial 16S ribosomal RNA". It matches the Rfam family "Bacterial small subunit ribosomal RNA", at positions 28 to 507 of the family's 1533-position model. The record is from RNAcentral.